UUCCGGUUGAUCUUGCCGGACCCCACUGCUAUCGAGGUGGGACUAAGCCAUGCUAGUCGAACGAACAGAACUAUGUCUGUAAGUGGCAUACUGCUCAGUAACACGUAGCUAACCUACCCUUAGGACGUUGAUAACCCCGAGAAAUUGGGGCUAAUAGGCGAUAGGUGUGAUGUCCUGGAAUGGUAUCACGCCCAAAGGUAUCCCAUACAUGUUUGGUAUACGCCUAAGGAUGGGGCUGCGGCCGAUCAGGCAGUUGGUGAGGUAAUGGCUCACCAAACCUUUGACCGGUACGGGCCAUGAGAGUGGUAGCCCGGAGAUGGACACUGAGACAAGGGUCCAGGCCCUACGGGGCGCAGCAGGCGCGAAACCUCCUCAAUGCACUAACGUGCGAAGGGGUUACCUCGAGUGCCACCUGAAGAAGGUGGCUUUUCCUUGGUCUAAAAAGCCUCGGGAAUAAGAGGGGGGCAAGACUGGUGUCAGCCGCCGCGGUAACACCAGCCCCUCGAGUGGUGGGGAUGAUUAUUUGGCCUAAAGCGUCCGUAGCCGGCCGGGUAAGUCUCCCGUUAAAUCCAGCGUCUCAAGCGUUGGACUGCGGGAGAUACUGCCUGGCUAGAGAGUGGGAGAGGUCAGCGGUAUUCUGGGGGUAGGGGCGAAAUCCUUUGAUCCCCGGAGGACCACCAGUGGCGAAGGCUGCUGACUAGAACACGUCUGACGGUCAGGGACGAAAGCUGGGGUAGCGAACCGGAUUAGAUACCCGGGUAGUCCCAGCCGUAAACGAUGCAUGCUAGGUGUUGGGUUGGCCACGAGCCACCCCAGUGCCGCAGGGAAGCCGUUAAGCAUGCCGCCUGGGAAGUACGAUCGCAAGGUUGAAACUUAAAGGAAUUGGCGGGGGAGCACCACCAGGCGUGAAGCCUGCGGUUUAAUUGGAGUCAACGCCGGG
This 940-nucleotide ribosomal RNA is filed under the name uncultured archaeon. RNAcentral describes it as "bacterial SSU rRNA". It matches the Rfam family "Archaeal small subunit ribosomal RNA", at positions 1 to 922 of the family's 1478-position model. The record is from RNAcentral.